AAAAGGUCUGGAAAGAUACAUUGUUGAAUUUAAUGUUCGCAGGUAAAGGUACGAUAAGCGCAGCUCUUACUUGGUUAUUUUGGCUCCUGGCGACGAACCCUGAAGAAGAAGAAAAGAUUAGACAAGAGAUGCUAACAAAUUUACAUGUUGAUAAAUCAUCGUCAAAAUGGAAAUUCGAAGACCUAAAGAAACUGAACUACCUUCACGGGGCUGUGUGCGAAACACUACGACUGUACCCAACAAUAGCAUUUCAAUUCAAAUCUACAGUCGAGCACGAUAUUCUCCCAAGUGGUCAUGCGAUAAACGCGAAUACAAAGACGGUGCUAUCACUCUACUCAAUGGGGAGGAUGGAAUCUAUUUGGGGCAAAGAUUGCCUCAAUUUUAAGCCGGGGAGAUGGAUUAAUCCUGAAACGGGACGCAUCAAAACUGAGCCCUCUUUCAAGUUUAGUGCUUUUAAUUCAGGGCCUAGGAGCUGUUUGGGAAAGGAGAUAACUUUCAUACAGAUGAAAAUUGUUGCAGCUGCUAUCAUGAGCCGAUUCCAUUUUCGGGUGGCUCAAGGUCAUUUGAUAUCGCCGAGUGCUUCAGUCGUGCUUCACAUGAAACAUGGACUCAAGGUUAAGGUUUCGGAUUAUGCUUGAUUCAGAUGAGACUGCUAAUUUACAAAUUUAAACCCUAGUUUUACUAGCUUUUAUCAUGUAAAUAAACUUGUAAUAAAACUUUUCAAGUACGAAAAGCAAUUAAUGCAUAAGCAUUUCCUAAUUAUCAGCCAAUACUAUGAUAAAAAUUAAAACACUCUUCUUCUUCUUCUAUAUCGCUUGUCUCCUUUCAGAAUGAUUGAUUUCUUUUCUGGUGUACAACACUUUUUAGAAAAUUAAUCGAAAUACACAAGGUAAUUGUCGGAUAAUAAUCAAUUAAAAAAUGUAGAAUUAUUUUAAAAACCGAAUUGCUCACCCAAAAUUCGAUACAGAUUGCAACGCGACGACGACAAAUCAUCUCGUUAAUGGAGUCGAAGCCUCUGCAUCCGAAUCGACGAAACCCUAACCUAUGAGCGAUUCCAGAAGCAAUAGCUGAAAGAAGAAGAGCUCAUCAUCAAAGAACCCUAAUCGUCUCAAUUGUUGGGAUAAAACUUUGUUAUGUUUUUAACUUUUUU
RNAcentral lists this long non-coding RNA (1150 nucleotides) under Erythranthe guttata (spotted monkey flower). Its description in RNAcentral is "long non-coding RNA (EGUT_LNC002425)". The record is from RNAcentral. Lineage: Eukaryota; Viridiplantae; Streptophyta; Magnoliopsida; Lamiales; Phrymaceae.